UCUAAAAGAAACCAUUACAAAAAUAAGGAAAAAUGAAUUUUACAAACUAUGUCAUAUGUUUUCUUUGUUUCCUCAAUAUAACUCUGAUUAGAAUGUCAAACAAAGAUAAAAUCAUCCGUAUUAAUCGUCAAUAUCGUGUAUAUUAUUAAUAUGAGCGUCUUUGCGUUAAAUUCGUGCUACACCACACCAUGCACUUAUAUCGACGUCGCAAUGCAAAAGAAGAAGGGCAAGAAAGAAACCUGUCCUGGUCUGGCGAUUUAAGGGAACAUUUGUUUAAGCCUGUCUAGAUCUUUUAUCAGUCUAGAAAGAUGUUGGAGAAAAGACAUCAUCCUCUUCUAUAAUCUCCAUCUGUAAUUGGACUAACAACUGGACCAGUGAAUGCAGGCAACUUACUCUCCAUUCGACCUUGCAGGUCACACCAUGGUCUCAAGAGGGAAAAUGAGUGCUCUAUGGAUUGAACAGAAAAGGUGAAUCAAAACUCCAACCAUCUGUAUGAGGGUCUGGAUGAAUAAAGGAUGCC
Non-coding RNA from Paramisgurnus dabryanus, 520 nucleotides. NCBI's taxonomy places the organism in Eukaryota, Metazoa, Chordata, Actinopteri, Cypriniformes, Cobitidae. The record is from RefSeq and is a predicted model, not a curated record.